Ictidomys tridecemlineatus (thirteen-lined ground squirrel) is the source of this 507-nucleotide non-coding RNA. The record is from RefSeq and is a predicted model, not a curated record. NCBI's taxonomy places the organism in Eukaryota, Metazoa, Chordata, Mammalia, Rodentia, Sciuridae.
AGAGGGAAGCAACAGAGGAGGUCAGAGUAACAACCCAAGAAGGACUUGACCCAUGAUUACUGGCUCUGAAGAGGGGGAAGGGGGCUGCCGGUCAAGGAAUGUGGGCAACCUAUUGGAGCUGAAGAAGAUUUAGAUUUUGCCCCGAGUCUCACAUGCCUUAAAACCAGCUGGUAUGCUCCAGAGUAGGAUGUAACCUCCAAGAGGUCUGGUCUGCCUCCCAAUCCCAGAGUUGUACUAUUAUGAUUUGGAUCGGAUGUCCCCACCAAAGGCUCAUGUGUUGAAGAUCUGGUUCCCAAUGUGGCAAUGUUCAGAGUUACAACAUAUCAGGAGAAAACUGCAGGACUCCUUUAAAUUGCUUUUCUCAGUUAUUUUGUCAUGGUGAUAGAAAGCUGACUAACAUAUUAUCUACCUUCAAGUCUUAAAAAAUGUGGAAAGAAUAAAAGAAUGAACACAUGUCCAUUGCAUUGACAAGAUGGGAGAAACCUGAAUAAAUGUAAUUCUUAAAUU